GGCGUGUACUGCUUGGCUGGGCCUUACUUCUUGGUGAGCCGGCGUGCCCUUUAUUGGUGUGCGUCGGGGAACCAGGACUUUUACCUUGAGAAAAUUAGAGUGUUCAAAGCAGGCCUAUGCCUGAAUACAUUAGCAUGGAAUAAUAGAAUAGGACGUGCGGUUCUAUUUUGUUGGUUUCUAGAGUCGCAGUAAUGAUUAAUAGGGACAGUUGGGGGCAUUGGUAUUGAGUCGCUAGAGGUGAAAUUCUUGGAUUGACUCAAGACCGACUAUUGCGAAAGCAUUUGCCAAGGAUGUUUUCAUUAAUCAAGAACGAAGGUUAGGGGAUCGAAAACGAUCAGAUACCGUUGUAGUCUUAACAGUAAACUAUGCCGACUAGGGAUCGGAUGACCUCAAAAUUGAUGUGUCAUUCGGCACCUUACGAGAAAUCAAAGUCUUUGGGUUCUGGGGGAGUAUGGUCGCAAGGCUGAAACUUAAAGGAAUUGACGGAAGGGCACCCCCAGGUGUGGAGCCUGCGGCUUAAUUUGACUCAACACGGGGAAACUCACCAGGUCCAGACAUAACUAGGAUUGACAGAUUGAUAGCUCUUUCAUGAUUUUAUGGGUGGUGGUGCAUGGCCGUUCUUAGUUGGUGGAGUGAUUUGUCUGGUUAAUUCCGAUAACGAACGAGACCUUAACCUGCUAAAUAGCCAGGCCGGCUUCGGCUGGUCUCUGGCUUCUUAGAGGGACUGGUCAG
Molecule: ribosomal RNA, 732 nt
Filed under: uncultured eukaryote
Lineage: Eukaryota
Description: SSU rRNA
Rfam family: Eukaryotic small subunit ribosomal RNA
Source: RNAcentral